Molecule: ribosomal RNA, 497 nt
Filed under: uncultured bacterium
Lineage: Bacteria
Description: partial 16S ribosomal RNA
Rfam family: Bacterial small subunit ribosomal RNA
Source: RNAcentral
GAUGAACGCUGGCGGCGUGCCUAAUACAUGCAAGUCGAGCGAACGGACGAGAAGCUUGCUUCUCUGAUGUUAGCGGCGGACGGGUGAGUAACACGUGGAUAACCUACCUAUAAGACUGGGAUAACUUCGGGAAACCGGAGCUAAUACCGGAUGAUAUUUUGAACCGCAUGGUUCAAAAGUGAAAGACGGUCUUGCUGUCACUUAUAGAUGGAUCCGCGCUGCAUUAGCUAGUUGGUAAGGUAACGGCUUACCAAGGCAACGAUGCAUAGCCGACCUGAGAGGGUGGUCGGCCACACUGGAACUGAGACAGGGUCCAGACUCCUGCGGGAGGCAGCAGUAGGGAAUCUUCCGCAAUGGGGGAGAGCCUGACGGAGCAACGCCGCGUGAGUGAUGAAGGUCUUCGGAUCGUAAAACUCUGUUAUUAGGUAAGAACAGAUGUGUAAGUAACUGUGCACAUCUUGACGGUACCUAAUCAAAAAGCCACGGCUAACUACGUG